This 600-nucleotide ribosomal RNA is filed under the name uncultured soil bacterium. Its description in RNAcentral is "bacterial SSU rRNA". It matches the Rfam family "Bacterial small subunit ribosomal RNA", at positions 28 to 623 of the family's 1533-position model. The record is from RNAcentral.
AUUGAACGCUGGCGGCAGGCCUAACACAUGCAAGUCGAGCGGAUGACAGGAGCUUGCUCCUGGAUUCAGCGGCGGACGGGUGAGUAGUGCCUAGGAAUCUGCCUGGUAGUGGUGGACAACGUUUCGAAAGGAACGCUAAUACCGCAUACGUCCUACGGGAGAAAGCAGGGGACCUUCGGGCCUUGCGCUAUCAGAUGAGCCUAGGUCGGAUUAGCUAGUUGGUGAGGUAAUGGCUCACCAAGGCGACGAUCCGUAACUGGUCUGAGAGGAUGAUCGGUCACACUGGAACUGAGACACGGUCCAGACUCCUACGGGAGGCAGCAGUGGGGAAUAUUGGACAAUGGGCGAAAGCCUGAUCCAGCCAUGCCGCGUGUGUGAAGAAGGUCUUCGGAUUGUAAAGCACUUUAAGUUGGGAGGAAGGGCAUUAACCUAAUACGUUAGUGUUUUGACGUUACCGACAGAAUAAGCACCGGCUAACUCUGUGCCAGCAGCCGCGGUAAUACAGAGGGUGCAAGCGUUAAUCGGAAUUACUGGGCGUAAAGCGCGCGUAGGUGGUUUGUUAAGUUGGAUGUGAAAGCCCCGGGCUCAACCUGGGAACUG